RNAcentral lists this ribosomal RNA (435 nucleotides) under Penicillium crustosum. RNAcentral describes it as "eukaryotic LSU rRNA". The stretch from base 100 to 252 matches the Rfam family "5.8S ribosomal RNA". The record is from RNAcentral. Lineage: Eukaryota; Fungi; Ascomycota; Eurotiomycetes; Eurotiales; Aspergillaceae.
GGCCGCCGGGGGGCUUACGCCCCCGGGUCCGCCCCCGCCAAAUACACCCUCUAACUCUGUCUGAAAAUUGAAGUCUGAAUGAAAAUAUAAAUUAUUUAAAACUUUCAGCAACGGAUCUCUUGGAUCCGGCAUCCAUGAAGAACGCAGCGAAGUGCAAUACGUAAUGUGAAUUGCAAAUUCAGUGAAUCAUCUAGUCUUUGAACGCACAUUGCGCCCCCUGGUAUUCCGGGGGGCAUGCCUGUCCGAGCGUCAUUGCUGCCCUCAAGCCCGGCUUGUGUGUUGGGCCCCGUCCCCCGAUCUCCGGGGGACGGGCCCGAAAGGCAGCGGCGGCACCGCGUCCGGUCCUCGAGCGUAUGGGGCUUUGUCACCCGCUCUGUAGGCCCGGCCGGCCCUUGCCUAUCAACCCAAAUUUUUAUCCAGGUUGACCUCCGAUCA